GAAAUGCGAUACGUAGUGUGAAUUGCAGAAUUCAGUGAAUCAUCGAAUCUUUGAACGCACAUUGCGCCCUUUGGUAUUCCAAAGGGCAUGCCUGUUCGAGCGUCAUUUGUACCCUCAAGCUUUGCUUGGUGUUGGGCGUCUUGUCUCCAGUUCGCUGGAGACUCGCCUUAAAGUCAUUGGCAGCCGGCCUACUGGUUUCGGAGCGCAGCACAAGUCGCGCUCUCAUCCAGCCAAGGUCAGCGUCCAGUAAGCCUUUUUUUCAACUUUUGACCUCGGAUCAGGUAGGGAUACCCGCUGAACUUAA
RNAcentral lists this unclassified non-coding RNA (304 nucleotides) under uncultured Chalastospora. Its description in RNAcentral is "sequence contains ITS1". The stretch from base 1 to 105 matches the Rfam family "5.8S ribosomal RNA", at positions 50 to 154 of the family's 154-position model. The record is from RNAcentral. Lineage: Eukaryota; Fungi; Ascomycota; Dothideomycetes; Pleosporales.